GACCUUGUGGUGAAGUUCAUGUUGAGUUGCAAGCUCAUUGAUGUGUGUUGAUGCACACCAAGGUCU
RNAcentral lists this transfer RNA (66 nucleotides) under Halcyon coromanda (ruddy kingfisher). RNAcentral's name for it is "tRNA-Cys". Lineage: Eukaryota; Metazoa; Chordata; Aves; Coraciiformes; Alcedinidae. The record is from RNAcentral.